This 5244-nucleotide long non-coding RNA is filed under the name Medicago truncatula (barrel medic). RNAcentral's name for it is "long non-coding RNA (MTRU_LNC003524)". Lineage: Eukaryota; Viridiplantae; Streptophyta; Magnoliopsida; Fabales; Fabaceae. The record is from RNAcentral.
ACACCACAACACAAUCCUCACUCACAUAGAGUUGAGAGAAAAAUAGAGAGUUCCUCAUAAGAGUGUGAGAGAAAAAUAUAGUGAGCCAAUUUGUGAGAGUUGUAUCUACAAAUUGAGAUACAUAGUUAGGUCCACCUGAGGGUGAAGAUUUGUAUUCCCAUUAUUAUUAUAGUGGAGAUUUAAGAGGCCUACGGGUCCCGUGGUUUUUCCUUACUCACAUUGAGAAGGUUUUCCACGCUAAAAUUUUGUUGUGUCAUUUUACGUUUCCGCUAAAGUGCCUAUUUUGAGUUCACGGAGGAGGGAAAUUAUGCAGGCAUUUCCCAACAGUGGUAUCAGAGCACUCGUUGCUCUGGGACUAUGAGUUUUCGUAUAUGCAAGAUAAUUCUUAAUAUGCUCUGUGGCUGCAACAUUGUUUGAUCUUCCACAUCAGAAAAGAAAUUUCUUGUCGCUAGAAAUAAAGUGAGGUAGUGAUAUAUUGCAUGUCUAGGAGUUCUGGCAAGGAAAGACUUGGUAUUUAAGCGUGUCUAUUGACCCACCUUUCUUACCUGGGAACUUUCAUGGUGCACUAUUCACGAACUCAUAUUUAUUCUAGUAUACGAUACUAGUCACACUUGUUAAAGAAAUUAUUUCCUGUGUAACUCAAGAUGGAGGGUGCAAUCAGCCAUGAUGGUGAUAUGUUCAAGCUAACUGCUGACAAUUACACAUAUUGGAAGCCAAUGAUGGAAGACCACUUGUAUUGCAAAGACUUUCAUGAGCCAAUCACCCAAAAAGAUAAACCCUAGAAGAAGACCGCUACGGAAUGGGAGACGGAGAAUCGAAAAACAGUGGCUAUGAUCCGAAAAUACAUUGAUCGAAGCUUGUUCGAGCAUGUAUCAACUGAUACCAAUGCGUAUGAGUUAUGGACGAAGCUUGAAUCAUUGAUUCAAAAGAAGACGCCGAGAAAUAAAGCACACCUUGUUAGAAGACUGGUGAAGUUAGAGUACUCAGACGGUCAAAAUAUGAUCGAGCAUUUAAACACCUUCAAAGGUAUUGUAAAUCAGUUGACAAAAACAGAAAUGAAGAUAGAUGACGAGUUGCAAACACUUCUACUUCUCAGUUCCUUACCUGAGAGUUGGGACACUUUAGUUGUCACUCUCAGCAAUUCUGCUCCAGAUGGAAAACUUAGCAUGGAUUCAGUCACUGACUGCCUGUUAAAUGAAGAGUCAAGACGAAGGGAAAGAGGCUUGAACAAUUAGUUCGAAGCCAACGUCAUUGACAACAGAGGAAGGAGCAAGAACCGUGAAAAAGGUGGUCGUGAAAAAUCACGAGGCAGAUCAAAGACUCGCACUAAACUAAGUUGUUAUUACUGUGGAAAACCAGGCCAUAGAAAGUUUGAGUGCAGAUUCUUCAAGAGAGAUCAGCAGGCUGGAACGAUCCAUCCCGAUAUAAUCGAUUCAAAGAAGAAAGAAGAAGGAACCACGACAGCAGUCGUAGCAACUAACGAGAAUUUCUUUCUCGUUGAAGAUGAAAAUUAUCUAAAUGUAGCGUCUGAUGACUGCAUUUGGAUAAUUGACUCAGGAGCAUCCUUUCAUGUAACCCCUCAUGAAGAAUUUUUCUCAUCAUAUCAAAAAGGAGACUUUGGUAUGGUGAAGAUGGGCAAUCAUGUCACAAGCAAGAUUGUUGGCAUUGGCGAGGUGACUCUGGCUACAGAUAAUGGCUCUAAGCUCGUGUUGAAGGAGGUUAGACAUGUUCCAGACAUGCGUCUAAAUCUUAUCUCGACAGGAAAAUUAGAUGAUAUUGGUAUGAUAAACCAAUUUGGAGAUGGCAGAUGGAAGCUUAGUAAAGGAAGCAUGAUCAUUGCUCGUGGUAAAAAGGAAGGCUCUCUGUAUGUUAUGCAGGGAAAGAUAAACAAGGGAGAUAUCAAUGUAUCUCAAGGCAUGAGCAAAGAAUUGUGGCACAAACGACUUGGCCACAUGAGUGAGAAAGGUUUGGAGAUUCUUGCUAAGAAUCAUCUUCCAAACAUCAAGGGUCAACCACUUGAAUCCUGUGAAGAUUGUCUAGCAGGCAAACAACACAGAGUAUCUUUUCAAAGAUCGGAUGAUGCAAAAAGAAGAAAGCAUAUCCUCGAUCUUGUUCAUUCAGAUGUUUGCUCUACAUCUGAAAGGUCCCUUGGUGGUUCACAAUACUUUGUUACCUUCAUUGACGAUCACUCUAGAAAAGUGUGGGUGUAUCCAUUGAAGAAGAAAGAUCAAGUUCUUCAGGUUUUCAAAGAAUUUCAUGCCUCUGUAGAACGGGCAUCUGGAAGAAAACUGAAAUGUCUAAGGACAGAUAAUGGUGGAGAGUAUAUAGGCACAUUUGCAGCCUACUGUAAAUCUCAUGGAAUAAGACAUGAGAAGGUACCUCCUAAAACUCCUCAGAUGAAUGGAGUAGCUGAAAGGAUGAAUAGAACGAUUGCAGAGAAAGUCAGAAGCAUGCUUUCUCAAGCAAAACUUCCCAAAUUAUUUUGGGGUGAAGCAGUGAGAACUGCAGUUGAUUUGAUUAAUUUGUCUCCUUCAAGACCUUUAAAUGGAGAGAUACCAGAUGAAGUAUGGUAUGGAAAGAAAGCCUCCUAUGGUCAUUUGAGAGUCUUUGGAUGCAGGGCAUUUGUGCAUGUUCCAAAAGAUGAAAGAGCAAAGCUAGAUGCUAAGACGAAGGAGUGCAUAUACCUUGGUUCACCAAGAGAUGAACUUGGCUUUAGAUUAUGGGAUCCUGCUACUAAGAAGAUGGUUCGAAGCAGAGACGUGGUAUUCUAUGAAGAUCAGACGAUCCACGACAUUCAAUCUAAAAAGCCAAAGACCAUUGUGGUGCACAAUUCAGGGGGAGAGAUUCCUCAGAUGAAUUACGAUCAUGAUCAGCUAACAGAACCAAAUCAGAUGGAGGAGCCUGAUCAGAUAGAACAAAAUCAAGCAAUGCAUGAAGAGCAGAUGGCAUAUGAUGAUGUUGAUGUUGAGAUGGAACAAGAACCUCAAUUGAGAAGAUCAACGAGAUCUAGACAACCAUCAAAAAGAUACUUCUCAGGUGAAUAUGUAAAUUUCACUGAGGAAGGGGAACCUCAAAGCUUCAUGGAAGCUAUAGAGACAACCAAUAAGGAAAAAUGGUUACAAUCCAUGGAAGAAGAGAUGAAAUCCCUAAAGGAGAAUGAGACGUAUGACCUGGUAAAAUUACCAGAUGGAAAGAGGGCAUUGAAAAAUAAAUGGGUGUUCAAACUCAAGUCUGAAGAGAACAACCCAAACCCCAAGUACAAAGCACGAAUUGUUGUGAAGGGGUGCCAUCAAAAGAAAGGCAUUGAUUUUGAAGAAAUAUUCUCACCGGUGGUGAAGAUGACAUCCAUUAGAGCAAUCCUUGGUCUAGCUGCAAAACUAGACUUAGAGAUAGAACAACUUGAUGUUAAAACAGCAUUCUUGCAUGGAGACCUAGAGGAAGAAAUCUAUAUGGAGCAACCUAAAGGUUUCGUUGAACCAGGCAAAGAACACCUUGUGUGUCGCUUGAAGAAAAGUUUAUAUGGCUUAAAGCAGGCUCCAAGACAAUGGUACAAGAAGUUUGAUCUCUUCAUGACCCAACACAACUUCACAAAGACGUCAACAGACCAUUGUGUGUUUGUGAAGAACUAUGAAAAUGGAGAGUCCAUCAUACUUUUAUUGUAUGUUGAUGAUAUGCUUAUUGUUGGAAAAGAUAAGACAAAGAUAUCUGCUCUCAAGAAAGCAUUGAGCAAAUCUUUUGCUAUGAAGGAUUUGGGUGCAGUGAAGAAGAUUCUUGGAAUGAAGAUCAUUAGAGAUCGAUCAAAAAGAAUGUUGUGGAUGUCACAAGAAGAAUAUCUCAAGAAAGUUCUUGAAAGGUUCAACAUGCAUAAUGCAAAACCUGUGCAUGUUCCAUUACCUGGUCAUUUGAAACUCAGUAAGACACAAUGUCCUGAGAAUGAUCAAGAGAAAGAAGAAAUGAGCAAGGUGCCCUAUUCUUCAGCCGUGGGUAGCCUUAUGUACGCCAUGGUCUGCACGAGGCCAGACAUCGGUUAUGCUGUAGGAGUCGUGAGUAGAUUCCUAUCAAAUCCAGGAAAAGAACACUGGAGUGCUGUGAAAUGGAUACUGAGGUAUCUAAAAGGAACUGCCAAAAAGUGCUUAUGUUUUGGCAAUGGAAAUCAAAUGCUCGUUGGAUAUGUAGAUGCUGAUAUGGCCGGAGAUAUAGAUUCAAGAAAAUCUACAUCUGGAUAUUUGAUUACUUUUGCAGGGGGAGCUGUCUCAUGGCAAUCUCGACUACAAAAGUGCGUUGCUUUAAGUACCACAGAAGCAGAGUACAUCGCAAUCACUGAAGGCUGUAAGGAGAUGAUGUGGAUGAAGAAGUUCCUGCAAGAGUUAGGCCAGAAUCAAGAAAUUUAUGUUCUCUAUUGUGAUAGUCAAAGUGCAAUUCACCUCAGCAAGAAUUCGACAUACCAUUCAAGGUCAAAACACAUCGAUGUGAGGUAUCAUUGGAUUCGUGAUGUGUUGGAGAAUAAACUGCUGCAAAUAGAGAAAAUUCACACCAAUGACAACGGAGCAGAUAUGAUGACAAAAGCUCUACCAAAAGAGAAGAUAGAGUUUUGUAAACAAGCUGCAGGCUUGGCAGCAACCCCAAACUAAUCUAAGGAUAGUUUCCCUUUGGCUGGAGGGGGAGAAUUGUUGGUUUCCAGCCACAAUAGUAACAAUAAUGCAUCAAUGGGAAAUGUUGAAUUUUUCUCCACUAGCAUGCCUAUGAAUAAUAGCUUGCGGUGGUAAAAAUUCUACCAUGUCAGUAACAAAUUGACAAACUUGGCAAUUGGUAACUAUUGUCAAAGAUGGUGCAGCAAGGAUUGGAAAAUAAGAACCAAGCAUUUAAUGCACACGGUUCAAAACCCUCUAUAAAUAGAGAAGAGUUUCAGCAAUGAAACACACCACAACACAAUCCUCACUCACAUAGAGUUGAGAGAAAAAUAGAGAGUUCCUCAUAAGAGUGUGAGAGAAAAAUAUAGUGAGCCAAUUUGUGAGAGUUGUAUCUACAAAUUGAGAUACAUAGUUAGGUCCACCUGAGGGUGAAGAUUUGUAUUCCCAUUAUUAUUAUAGUGGAGAUUUAAGAGGCCUACGGGUCCCGUGGUUUUUCCUUACUCACAUUGAGAAGGUUUUCCACGCUAAAAUUUUGUUGUGUCAUUUUACGUUUCCGCUAAAGUGCCUAUUUUGAGUUCACGGAGGAGGGAAAUUAUGCAGGCAUUUCCCAACA